Molecule: long non-coding RNA, 536 nt
Organism: Amphiprion ocellaris (clown anemonefish)
Lineage: Eukaryota; Metazoa; Chordata; Actinopteri; Pomacentridae
Exons: 3
Source: RefSeq, a predicted model, not a curated record
CCAGCGGGUUGGAUCUGUCGGUGUGCGGCCAGCGGGUUGGAUCUGUCGGUGUGCGGCCAGCGGGUUGGAUCUGUCGGUGUGCGGCCAGCGGGUUGGAUCUGUCGGUGUGCGGCCAGUGGGUUGGAUCUGUCAGUGUGCGGCCAUUGGGUUUGGAUCUGUCAGCUAAUGUGUUCCAGCCUCCAGAGUGUUCCAGCCGCCAAAGUGUUCCAGCCGCCAAAGUGUUCCAGCCGCCAAAGUGUUCCAGCCGGAGGACAGCAUUUGGCUACAGUGCUUGUUGGGCUGAAUCCCAUCGCUUUUAAAAAAUGACAGCGGUGGCUUCAGUCAGUGGCAGCAGGUAGGCUGAUGUUCAUCAUAAUGUUGUGUACUAUACUAUACUGUACUGUAUCAGCAUGUCCCCCACGCAUGACAUGAACAUGACUUCAACAAUAAGGUGUUUUUUACACUUUGUAUUCUAAAAUCAAUCAGGAUAUUUGUUGUGGAACAUUUUCACAUUAAAAAGUAGAUAAGGUGAAAAAGAGACACACAAGGACAGAAAA